Molecule: long non-coding RNA, 2258 nt
Filed under: Pan troglodytes (chimpanzee)
Lineage: Eukaryota; Metazoa; Chordata; Mammalia; Primates; Hominidae
Description: long non-coding RNA NONPTRT010589
Source: RNAcentral
AUUUUGAAAUAGUUUGCUCUAGUUCUGUGAGGAAUGCCAUUGGUAAUUUAAUAGGGAUAACUUGCAUCUGUAAAUUACUUUGGGCAGUAUAGCCAUUUUAAUGAUGUUAAUUCUUCCUAUCCAUGAGCAUGAAAUGUUUUUCCAUUUGUUUGUGUCUUCUCUGAUUUCUUUGAACAGUGUUUUGUAAUUCUCCUAGAGAUCUCUUAGAGAUCUUUCACCUCCCUGGUUAGCUGUAUUCCUAGGUAUUUAUUUUUUCUGUGUGUAGCAAUUAUGAAUGGGAUUGUGUUCUUCAUUUGACUCUCUGCUUUACUGCUAGGAAUUUUUGCACAUUGAUUUUGUAUGCUAAGACUUUGCUAAAGUUUAUCAGCAGAAGGAGCUUUGGGGCUAAGACUAUGGGGUUUUCUAGAUAUAGAAUCAUGUCAUCUGUAAACAGAGACAGUUUGACUUCCUGUCUAUUCCUCUCUUCCCUCCUCUGUUUGGAUGCCCUUCCAGUUUUGCACAUUCAGUGUAAUGUUGGCUGUGGGUUUGUCAUGGCUAGCUCUCAUCAUUUUGGCACUUCCGACUAGAAGUGCAAGAGGGGCCAGUGUUGUUGUUACCUGAAAGGUAAGUGCAGCCCACAAAAAUGCAGUGAAGAAGAAGAUAUAUGCAUAUGUUUAAGUUAAUACAAUUGAGAUACAUUUAGCAGACAGAAUCAAUAGAGUUGAUGAGUGACUGACUGGAUGUGUGGGGAGUUUAUAUCACUCCCAGGUUUUUGACUUGGGCAACUGGGCACUCAAGAAGGAAAAAGAGGAUCCAGGGAGAGGAACUUUUCUGAGGACUGGGGUAGGGCUGAACAGCUGCAUUCGAGACUGGUGGAGGGUGGGCUGGGCAUGGGAUGCACAAAUGGAGAUUCCACUGGGUCUGCAGCUCACACAUAGGCAUGACCAGCAUAGAGAUAGAGAGGCCCCAGUGCUGCUGAGUAACUGUGAUUCCCCAGGUGAUGGCAUCAGCUGAGAAGGGAAGGAAGCCUAUGUGAGGACACUGAAGAAGGAGUGAGCAGACAAUAAGAAGCCCACAGAAGACAGAGAAGGAACAACUAGAGGGAGAAGCCAAGGCAGGCAUGUGUGGUAACAUAUAGGAACUGAGGGAGAGGACAUUUCAAGAUGGAGAGGAUGCCAUACAACAGGACUAUGUGAUGGUUUUUGGCUGUGUCCAUAGGAAGUCACAACAGGCAAGGGAAAGAAACCAGAACCCAGUCAUGGAGUUAAGAAGUGAGUCAGAGAGGAGAUGGGUAGGGACAGUGAGGUAAGGCCUCUUUUUAAGGAAGUUUGGCUGAAGGAUAGACUAGCUGGACAUAUAUGCUGGCUGUGUGGGGUAGAGGGAGGAAUGAUGGAGGGUAGGAGAGCCUUGAGCCUGCGAGAAGAGUCUCCUAGAAUAGAGAAGCUGAGGUUAAAGUUGUGGAAGACAGUGGGGAUAACUGAGUGACAGAUAAUCAGGAGAAGAAAAGGAGAUCCAGAAUCAUGACAGAGAGAUGACCUUUGCCAAGAGCACAGCCAUCUUUCACUGCACAGAGAGGUAGGACAAAACGAUUGGUGUUCAAGAAUUGGUUUGUAGCACAAUAUUUUAACUAUGUCCUUUAAAAAGUUUCUCCACAGACACUACCCAAAGCAGUCCUUCACUACAGUGGCAGACAGACCUGAAAAUUUUCAUCUGAAGCAGCAGAGUGAACUGCAGAGUCAGGUCACCAACCAGUGUGGAGGCUAAAAGCGGGCCUCUUCGGGGAUUCCAGGUGGAAGUGUUGGACAUCUGUAGUAUUCCUGCAGGAACAAAGAUCACCACAACUGGCUCCCCUUCAACUAUGUUAGAUGGCAACUUGCAUUCAGUAUGGUGAAACACAUCAGUUAAGACUGGGGUUGUGCAUGGCAGGACUUUCUACAAGGACACCCAGUCUCCUUAAUAAACAUGAGAUGCUCUCUUUCCAGAAGUUCUCUUGCCUGACACAGCAUAGGAAGAUGCUGAACGGCCACACAGUGAUCCAUUGAGAUAGAAUCUCACUAUGUUGACCAGGCUGGUCUUGAACUCUUGGCACCCAAGCGAUCCUUUUGCCUGGAAUCCCAAAGUGUCAGAUUUACUGAAGAAUAUUUCAUUGUAAUUACUUUUUAUACUUUAUAGGUCAAGAGCUCUGUUUUAAAGACAAAAUUUAUUGAAUAUACUUUUUCAAACAAAGUUUCAUGUUCUAAUCAUUGUAUGAUUUCAGCAUUAAAUGAAACACAGUAAAG